UACGGGGGGAGCAAGCGUUGCUCGGAUUUACUGGGCGUAAAGGGCGCGUAGGCGGUCAGCACAAGUCAGUUGUGAAAUCUCCGAGCUUAACUCGGAAAGGUCAACUGAAACUGUGCGACUAGAGUGCGGAAGGGGCAACUGGAAUUCUUGGUGUAGCGGUGAAAUGCGUAGAUAUCAAGAGGAACACCUGCGGCGAAGGCGGGUUGCUGGGCCGACACUGACGCUGAAGCGCGAAAGCCAGGGGAGCGAACGGG
RNAcentral lists this ribosomal RNA (254 nucleotides) under uncultured bacterium. RNAcentral's name for it is "partial 16S ribosomal RNA". It matches the Rfam family "Bacterial small subunit ribosomal RNA", at positions 524 to 776 of the family's 1533-position model. The record is from RNAcentral.